RNAcentral lists this ribosomal RNA (492 nucleotides) under uncultured bacterium. Its description in RNAcentral is "partial 16S ribosomal RNA". It matches the Rfam family "Bacterial small subunit ribosomal RNA", at positions 29 to 507 of the family's 1533-position model. The record is from RNAcentral.
AGUGAACGCUGGCGGUAGGCCUAACACAUGCCAGUCGAACGGCAGCACAGUAAGAGCUUGCUCUUACGGGUGGCGAGUGGCGGACGGGUGAGGAAUACAUCGGAAUCUACUUUUUCGUGGGGGAUAACGUAGGGAAACUUACGCUAAUACCGCAUACGACCUACGGGUGAAAGCAGGGGAUCUUCGGACCUUGCGCGAUUGAAUGAGCCGAUGUCGGAUUAGCUAGUUGGCGGGGUAAAGGCCCACCAAGGCGACGAUCCGUAGCUGGUCUGAGAGGUCGGUCACCCACACUGGAAGAGAGACCUGGUCCAGUGACCUCCGCGACGACGCAGAGGGGAAUAUUGGGCAAUCGGGGCAAGCAUGAUAAAGUCAAACCGCGUCAGUAACGAAAGCCCUCCGUGUGGAAAGACCUUUUUUUGGGAAAGAAAAGCAGCAGGUUAAUACCCCGCGGUUCUGACGGUACCCCAAGAAUAAGCACCGGCUAACUUCGUG